RNAcentral lists this ribosomal RNA (465 nucleotides) under uncultured bacterium. RNAcentral describes it as "partial 16S ribosomal RNA". It matches the Rfam family "Bacterial small subunit ribosomal RNA", at positions 29 to 507 of the family's 1533-position model. The record is from RNAcentral.
AUGCACGCUGGCGGCGUGCUUAACACAUGCCGGUCGAACGAUGAAGCCCAGCUUGCUGGGUGGAUUAGUGGCGAACGGGUGAGUAACACGUGAGUAACCUGCCCUUAACUCUGGGAUAAGCCUGGGAAACUGGGUCUAAUACCGGAUAGGAGCGUCCACCGCAUGGUGGGUGUUGGAAAGAUUUAUCGGUUUUGGAUGGACUCGCGGCCUAUCAGCUUGUUGGUGAGGUAAUGGCUCACCAAGGCGACGACGGGUAGCCGGCCUGAGAGGGUGACCGGCCACACUGGGACUGAGACACGGCCCAGACUCCUACGGGAGGCAGCAGUGGGGAAUAUUGCACAAUGGGCGCAAGCCUGAUGCAGCGACGCCGCGUGAGGGAUGACGGCCUUCGGGUUGUAAACCUCUUUCAGUAGGGAAGAAGCGAAAGUGACGGUACCUGCAGAAGAAGCACCGGCUAACUACGUG